Molecule: transfer RNA, 43 nt
Filed under: Struthio camelus australis
Lineage: Eukaryota; Metazoa; Chordata; Aves; Struthioniformes; Struthionidae
Rfam family: tRNA
About the family: Transfer RNA (tRNA) molecules are approximately 80 nucleotides in length. Their secondary structure includes four short double-helical elements and three loops (D, anti-codon, and T loops). Further hydrogen bonds mediate the characteristic L-shaped molecular structure. tRNAs have two regions of fundamental functional importance: the anti-codon, which is responsible for specific mRNA codon recognition, and the 3' end, to which the tRNAs corresponding amino acid is attached (by aminoacyl-tRNA synthetases). tRNAs cope with the degeneracy of the genetic code in two manners: having more than one tRNA (with a specific anti-codon) for a particular amino acid; and 'wobble' base-pairing, i.e. permitting non-standard base-pairing at the 3rd anti-codon position.
Source: Rfam by way of RNAcentral
GACCUCGUGGCGCAAAGGUAGCGCGUCUGACUCCAGAUCAGAA